Molecule: non-coding RNA, 267 nt
Organism: Paramuricea clavata
Lineage: Eukaryota; Metazoa; Cnidaria; Anthozoa; Malacalcyonacea; Plexauridae
Source: the annotation of a GenBank genome assembly
AUUACAGUCAAUUUCAGCUGACUUUUCAUCGUAAGAUUCCGAACUUCGUUCCGAACUUCGCAAAUUUGUUGCCAAGUUCAAAAGUUCACAAUGAAAUUCACAAACAGGUUUGUAAACAAAGCCUCUGAUUGGCUAUUAAAUCAAACCAGCCAGUUUACAAACCUGUUUGUGAAUUCAUUAUGAACUUUUGAACUUGGCAACGAAUUUGCGAAGUUCGGAACGAAGUUCGGAAUCUUACGAUGAAAAGUCAGCUGAAAUUGACUGUAA